UCCACUCAUGAUGGAUUAAUCUGACCUACAUUAGAUUAACUGCCUAUGGUAGUCGAAUGGGAGUUGGUGGCGAUUGAAAACAGUUGAGGGCAGUUGGACACAUAUUUAAUGUCCCAAAACUACCACUUUUCGUUAUGACUACAAUAUAGAAAAAAUGCUAAAAUACUUUACCUUCCAAGGACGCAAAUACAAAUCCUCCCAGAAGAAAAUUUCUUCUCUCACAAAAUCCAGAAUCAAUAGGCAUGCAAAGUGUGUUGUGGAAAUUAACUAAUCAUGCUUCAGAUCGCAUUCAAUUCGAAACAAAAGAGUAUGAAAUCCAGGUAUGCUUUCUGUGAAUUCAAUUUAUAGAAUUUUGGCUGAAAUCUAACAUUGGUAAAAGAGCCUAGGGUGAUGUAAUUAUCUUGCCAAUAAUUUUGUGUUAAUAAACAAACUGAAUUAUCAAUUUUUCAUUAAAAUUGGUUAAAAAUUGAAAUUAAUUUGUGCAACAUUGCAUGAAAUUGAGACUUAUAAACAUGUUAGGAUAAUGCUUGAAUGUGUUGCAUGUUUUCAUUUGAAAAUCACACCAAAAUAAGGACGAAAUUGACGAAAAUUGAGACCUAAAAUCAUGACAUUUAAGCCUCAAUGUUGCUGGAAUUUGGCGACAUUGAUGCUGGAAAGUGGAACGAAUAUGACCACUUACAUGGGCUGAUCAAAACCCUUGUGGUUUUGGCCUGACUGACAGUUGAAAUUGAUGAAUUGAAUGAUUACCAGACUUGUUUGGUUGGGUUGCAAUUGGGUUAGGAAAACCCGAUUACUAGACUUGUUUGGUCAGCAGGUUUCCUAAACCCAUUGGUUAAUAGGUCAACCCAUUUAGUCAACCAGAUGACCCAAAUCGUCAAUGCCCACUGGGUUGAUUGAUAGAUCAAUGACCCAAUCCACACCUAAUUGGCGUGUGGUAGCUUGUGAAAGUGCAUCGCCAAUGUGUGGAGGUGCAUGAGGUUGAUUUUUGGUGCAUGAAGGCAUGCCGGACCUUGUUCUGACGCUUGGGUUACUGUUAUCAGCAUGUGAGAACAUGUGAAACCCUCUUAUUGACACAUGAUAGCAUGCUGAUGGUUGGAUCAAUGCAUGGUCCAGUGGGUCUUACAUUGCAUAAAAGUGUUUAAGACCUUAUUUUGGUUCAUGCAAACACGUAAUAAUAUUUCAAAACACAUGUUUCUAAAUCAUGCAAACAUGAUGACUAAAGACCAUUACAUGAGCUAUAAGAUGAGAUCAUCUGACAGUUUAAUGAUGCAUGUUAGGGUUAUAUAUUAUAAAUAUUUAGACUUAAAGGUAAGUCGUAUACUCUUAACGACAAAAGAGAUGAUAUAUAAUCUAUUUAUGUCUAUGUCUGACCAUUGAAAUCCCAUGAUACAUGAUCUUAUUUAGGAAAAGAACGUAAAAAUUUUUUGAGAUUAUGUGGAGAGAUUACAACUUGGUGAAAAGCGACACAUCAUAAUAAAUGUAAGAAAAUCCACUAUUUUAUUGUUUUUCUUAAAUCAACAAAGUACGAGAUAUAUGGGCUAUUGCAAACAACAUAGAGACUUACUAUGGAUAAAGUGACUCAAAGAUUGUAUGAGAUGAUGAAAUGGUCCUAGUUAUAGUUGUCAUGCAUAUUUUUUUUUGUAUCACAUAUUAUAAUUGUUAAUUGUGAGAAUUCUGAGAUUGAUAGAAUUUAAUGAAAUUCUCAUCCAGAAUUAAUAUGAGUGCAAUUAGAUUAAAUUUUAAAAUAUCAAACAUUUGGAUCAUAGAAGAUGAUUAGAAAUAUAGUUAACUUUCGAUUUUAUGUCUUAUGAGAUAUUUUAAAUUUUAACACACGAUUGUGACAAUUGAUAUGUAUAUAAUUGUAUUAGUUAAUGUUGUGUCAAAUAUAUCUUUGUAAUCUGAUUAACCAUGACAUUCAAGAAUAUAAUAGCUAACUUGAACAAAAGUGAGAAAUCAAUUCUAUGCGUUAUGUGAGAUAUUUUAAAUUUUGAUGCAUGAUUGUGACAAUCAUGUUAUGACUUGCAAUUGGAAUACGAGGACUUUUCCUUACAGUACUUGUCAUAUUGAGCUAGAAGACGAGUGCCUUGAGGUAGUUGGAUCAGGUGCUCAUGCAUACAUUGCAAAGUCUAGUUCCAAAAGGUUUUUUUGCUUCAAAUGUAAAUGGCAAAAGUCUAAGAAAGGAAAGGAAGUUGCGCAAGGCCCUAAGAACAAGAACAAGAAAUUUUGACAAAAGAAAGGUAAAUGUGUUGGAAAAAGAGACAAAAGUAAAAUGACUUGUUAUAAUUAUGGCAUGAAGGGUCAUUUUGCCUGUGAAUACAUAGAGCCAGAAAAGACUCAGGAGCCACAGACAAUGUAGUUCAUGACAAAGGAGUUUUUGUAAAAUUUCACCAAAUUUCAAAGCAGAAGAGAUGGAUUUAUGUUGGCAAUAAUACGAGAGUUGAAGUAAAAGGAUAGACACAUGCAAAUUAGUUUUGCAAGGUGGUCAAACCCUAUUCCUAUAUGAAAUUCGAUAUGCUCUAGAUAUUUGAUGAAACUUGGUCUCAGUGCUUGUUAUUUUAAAUCUAUUAUAUAAUUUGAAUUUCUUUAGAGGCUUUAUUAGAGUUUAUAAUGGUAUUAACUUCCUUAUGCCCUUUCCCUUGCUUUUGGACCUUUCUGAGGUCAUUUGUGUUUCUUUUUUGCUCCACUUGUGGAGGCAAUGUGAACUUCCUCUUGCCCUUUC
Long non-coding RNA from Mangifera indica (mango), 2719 nucleotides. RefSeq lists it as uncharacterized. NCBI's taxonomy places the organism in Eukaryota, Viridiplantae, Streptophyta, Magnoliopsida, Sapindales, Anacardiaceae. The record is from RefSeq and is a predicted model, not a curated record. The transcript has 2 exons.